AGGGAUAUAUAUCAGGAGCCGCUCUCGGACAUGACGCUAAUUUGCAUAGAUAACGCUCCAAUGGUGUCAUCAUCCACCUGAUGAAGAUAGUCACUCAAGGUUGACACGUUCCGUGAUUGCUUUACUCCUCUCUCCGUCUCAUGAAUACACACCAUCACUCGUUUGUCUCUCCUUCUCUUUUCUCCAGAUAAAGCAUCGGGUGCUUGUGCUACUAGCAUCGUCCAUCUUCGCUGAGGGGGAAGAAACCCGUGAAAAACGUCGUCUGCGAAGAGAAACCAGUUUGCAGCAACUCCUUGGGGGAGACUCUUGCAGGGGAAAAAGACAGUUCAGUACGAGAAAUUAAAAACUAUAUAUCAAGAUGAAAAGCUUAGUUGCUGGUGUUCUUAUUGUGAUCGUGGCCUUGGCAUCGGUGCUCUCAUGUUGUCAUGCCGAAAGGAUGGGUGAUGGAAGGGACGAAUAUUACGAUCUUAUCGACUGGUUAAGUGCUGUAAAACGAGGAUCAAAGGGUGGACUCGGACGAUCUUUCUGUAAAGUGGACCAAGACAACGCACACAACUGUCGCCGUGGUUACAACUGUAACGCCCUCCAGGGUGGAGCAUGCAGUAGGGACACCAGGUGGUGCGUCUGUCGCAUCCAUGAUGAUAUCAGCUGGCUCUUGUAGAGACUCAUCUUAGACCUUAAUCCCCCACCCGCUCUCUUAUUUUACCUACAAGGUACAUCAACUACAGGAGGACUCUAAAGGACAUUGUCUUUUGACUAGAUUUAAGAUUUUUAUUUAUGUUUUUAAUACUGAGCUGUUUAGUCUUGACCUCUUCGGGGCUUGUUUGUCAGUGACCAGAAUCUAUUUACGUUCCGGUACUGAGCUGUUAUUUUUGGACUUCUCCUGCACACUUGCUAGAUGGUACGUGAUCCUGAAAACUCCGAAAGGAACUUCUGUCAAGCGUAUGAGUCUGCUUUUCAUGGCAUCGACAUCUUUAUGAUUGUGAGGCGGCGUGGAAUCGACAAAUGCAUCUCUAAGAAACGACAACUACGAAGAAACUGAAACAUUCCUAUAACCUGAAUACCCAGGACUAUUCCGGUAAACCUCCAAUCAAAGGUCAUUCUCGGAUAUCAGCUGUGUUAAUACUGGUCGUCAAUUUUGUAAUUACGGUAUCAUCUAAUAGAACUGCAAUAGCUUCAGUCUUUAAGAGUAGGUAAAAAUGAGUCUCACGUGUAUAUCUGAACAAGAUUUCGUUCUAUAUUUUGAGUAAUUGUAGAAAGGCUACUUCCAGGAGUUAGUACUCAUAAACAAAGACAUUUGGAAGUAAUGAAUCAAAAGAGAGGAAGAUAACAAGAUGAAAUGUAGAAUUUAAUUGCAAAAUUAAGAACUGGGAUUUAAAUAAAUACACCAAACUCAUAUAGAGAUAAUUUCAAGCGCAUUGUUACUCUAUGUCCCUUCUAUUAUUAGUAAUGCAAACAAAAAUGCUGAAAUGGUAACAGUCAUACUUUAAUCUAUAAAGGAGACAAAAAUAUAGAUAACUGCAACGUAGUUUUACGAUCUUAGUCGAGAAUGCCAACCAAGAAAAGUCUACGUGGAAGAUUUGUGAAGUCCGCAGUAGUUUAUAUAUGAAUUGAAUUACCACUAUUGUCAAGAGAAAAUUUCUACAUGCACUCAAAGUGAUUCUCAGUGUUUUGAAAGGAAAUAUUUUUCAAUAGAAAUUGUAUCCAUUCGUGGUAAAAAAAAAUCUACGUCAUUAUAAUCCAAUAUUUCUGAUAACGACAUUUAUGAAUGCAACUUUCACUUUUUAGGAGACUGUCAUUUUCAGCAUAAAACUGGCCACUCUACUCUUGCCAAAGGAGUAAUUUCUUAUUUCACAACAAAGUUUCCGUGUGCAUACAAUGGUAGAAAGAUGACGCAAGGUGAAAUAAAUAUUGCGACAAAACAGUAAUAGUAAUUGAAAGUCAGAAAUUGUGAAGUGGACAAAACCCUAUUCUACACAAGAAAAUCCAGAAUAGAAUUUCGUGAAUCAUUUGUUUUUUUAGUUGACUCUUUGCUUUUAAACCUUGAUGAAAACUGCAUAUCGUUUUCGAACAAGCGUCUAGUCAUUACAAUAAGCAUGAUAACAAAUGUUUUGCAGAUGUUUAUGGUGGUCGAAAAACAAAUAUAAUUCCUUUUGUGAGUAAAGUAAUUUCAAUGUUUCAAGUUUAACUAGCUUCGUUGUUUACUUUUAUCAACCCGUGGACUUUCAUAGCUCCUUGUUCUUGGCUUUGACUAUUUACUUUACUUCUAAAUAACACUCCACUCAAAAUAAUUCCAAUCAAAUAAAAAUGUUAUUAUAUGUCAUUAUUGGCCCAUGAUCAGUUUUGGUAUAGUUACUCUUGUACGUAAAA
Molecule: long non-coding RNA, 2370 nt
Organism: Strongylocentrotus purpuratus (purple sea urchin)
Lineage: Eukaryota; Metazoa; Echinodermata; Echinoidea; Camarodonta; Strongylocentrotidae
Exons: 2
Source: RefSeq, a predicted model, not a curated record